Molecule: non-coding RNA, 649 nt
Organism: Ictidomys tridecemlineatus (thirteen-lined ground squirrel)
Lineage: Eukaryota; Metazoa; Chordata; Mammalia; Rodentia; Sciuridae
Source: RefSeq, a predicted model, not a curated record
GUUGGGGACUGCCUGUCCUCUCUCAGGCCAUACCUACUGGAUCCUGGCCACUCAGGAAAAGCCAUGACUUGCAAGGAAGUUUUUUCCCCUAGUUUUUUGCCCUUUGGUGGAAAGUUCAGGUAUUUAAUGUGGGAUCGGAACUUGAGCUGAUAGUUCCCAUCAGGCAGCAAUUCUCUCCGAAGCAGAGGUCUUCAAACAUCAGUGGCAUUACAUUCAUUCAGCCAACCAAUGUGCCCACCCAGAGGGUCCCUGUCUAGUCACAUCCUUGCCAGGCUUGGAGGCUGCACCAUGGCCACCGCCUCUUCUCAGAUACCAAGUGACCAUCUCAAGUCCCUUUUACAGAUGAUGCAUGAAAGACCGGGAGGGAAGGGAGAGGGACCCCCACUGAAGGAUACGGAAAUAUCCUUUUAAACACAUGUCCCAGACCCCAGGAAGAAAAGGAGGACAAUGGGUUCCAGGGACAGAAGGAAAACAUGGGCUCUGGACUCCCUCAAUUUCCUGCAUCUACAACUGUCCCCCCGACUGCCCAACUGACACAUUCUGCUGUGAAUCAGUCUCAUUAAACCCUAUAAAGCUCAGAUCCCUAUUGUAACCACUUGCCAUUUUCUCUCUUGAAAUUGUGCUUAAUAAAGCAUGGCUGAUCCGUCGA